Molecule: non-coding RNA, 330 nt
Organism: Pelobates cultripes (western spadefoot toad)
Lineage: Eukaryota; Metazoa; Chordata; Amphibia; Anura; Pelobatidae
Source: the annotation of a GenBank genome assembly
CUGUAUGUCUGUCUGUAUGUAUGUCUGUCUGUAUGUAUGUAUGUCUGUAUGUAUGCCUGCAUGUCAGUAUGUUUGUAUGUAUGUCAGUAUGUAUGUCUGUAUGUAUGUAUGUAUAUCUGUAUGUCAGUAUGUUUGUAUGUAUGUCAGUAUGUAUGUCUGUAUGUAUGUCUGUAUGUAUGUCUGUAUGUAUGUAUGUCAGUAUGUCUGUCUGUAUGUAUGUCUGCAUGUCAGUAUGUUUGUAUGUAUGUCAGUAUGUAUGUCUGUAUGUAUGUCUGUCUGUAUGUAUGUAUGUCUGUAUGUAUGCCUGCAUGUCAGUAUGUUUGUAUGUAU